CCUACGGGGGGCUGCAGUAAGGAAUGUUGGUCAAUGGACGAAAGUCUGAACCAGCCAUGCCGCGUGGAGGAUGAAGGUCCUCUGGAUUGUAAACUUCUUUUAUAUGGGACGAAAAAAGGCCUUUCCAGGUCGUCUGACGGUACCAUAUGAAUAAGCACCGGCUAACUCCGUGCCAGCAGCCGCGGUAAUACGGAGGGUGCAAGCGUUAUCCGGAUUCACGGGGGUGAAAGGGUGCGGAGAAGGGAGUGGUGAAAGCCCCGAGCUUAACUUGGGAACUGCCAUUGAUACUAUCAGUCUUGAAGACCGUGGAGGUCAGCGGAAUAUGUCAUGUAGCGGUGAAAUGCUUAGAUAUGACAUAGAACACCAAUUGCGAAGGCAGCUGGCUACACGAGUAUUGACACUGAGGCACGAAAGCGUGGGGAUCAAACAGGAUUAGAUACCCCGGUAGUC
RNAcentral lists this ribosomal RNA (450 nucleotides) under uncultured bacterium. RNAcentral's name for it is "partial 16S ribosomal RNA". It matches the Rfam family "Bacterial small subunit ribosomal RNA", at positions 338 to 795 of the family's 1533-position model. The record is from RNAcentral.